UCAAGCGAACAAGUGCAUGUGGUGGAUGCCUUGGCGAUUACAGGCGAUGAAGGACGCGGUAGCCUGCGAAAAGCUUCGGGGAGCUGGCAAACGAGCUUUGAUCCGGAGAUGUCCGAAUGGGGAAACCCGGCCCGAAUGGGUCAUCCCUGACUGAAUACAUAGGUCAGGGAAGCGAACGCGGCGAACUGAAACAUCUAAGUAGCUGCAGGAACAGAAAUCAACCGAGAUUCCCAAAGUAGUGGCGAACGAAAUGGGAAGAGCCUUGUACUCUUUAGCAGCAUUGUUAGCAGAACGGGAUGGAAAGCCCGGCCAUAGCAGGUGAUAGCCCUGUAUGCGAAAACAGCGUUGUGGAACUAGGUGUACGACAAGUAGGGCGGGACACGUGAAAUCCUGUCUGAAGAUGGGGGGACCAUCCUCCAAGGCUAAAUACUCGUAAUCGACCGAUAGUGAACCAGUACCGUGAGGGAAAGGCGAAAAGAACCCCGGGAGGGGAGUGAAAUAGAUCCUGAAACCGCAUGCAUACAAACAGUCGGAGCCUGGAAACGGGUGACGGCGUACCUUUUGUAUAAUGGGUCAGCGACUUACAUUCAGUGGCAAGCUUAACCGAUUAGGGAAGGCGUAGCGAAAGCGAGUCCGAAUAGGGCGUUGAGUCGCUGGGUGUAGACCCGAAACCAGAUGAUCUAUCCAUGGCCAGGUUGAAGGUGCGGUAACACGUACUGGAGGACCGAACCCACUAACGUUGAAAAGUUAGGGGAUGAGCUGUGGAUAGGGGUGAAAGGCUAAACAAAUCUGGAAAUAGCUGGUUCUCUCCGAAAACUAUUUAGGUAGUGCCUCGUGUCUCACCUUCGGGGGUAGAGCACUGUCAUGGUUGGGGGGUCUAUUGCUGAUUACCCCGCCAUAGCAAACUCCGAAUACCGAAGAGUGCAAUCACGGGAGACAGACAUCGGGUGCUAACGUCCGGUGUCAAGAGGGAAACAACCCAGACCGCCAGCUAAGGUCCCAAAGAUUGGCUAAGUGGGAAACGAAGUGGGAAGGCUAAAACAGUCAGGAGGUUGGCUUAGAAGCAGCCACCCUUUAAAGAAAGCGUAAUAGCUCACUGAUCGAGUCGUCCUGCGCGGAAGAUGUAACGGGGCUAAGCCAGUCACCGAAGCUGCGGACGCACGCAAGUGCGUGGUAGGAGAGCGUUCUGUAAGCCUGUGAAGGUGUCUUGUAAAGGAUGCUGGAGGUAUCAGAAGUGCGAAUGCUGACAUGAGUAGCGAUAAAGGGGGUGAAAGGCCCCCUCGCCGUAAGCCCAAGGUUUCCUACGCAACGUUCAUCGGCGUAGGGUGAGUCGGCCCCUAAGGCGAGGCAGAGAUGCGUAGCUGAUGGGAAGCAGGUUAAUAUUCCUGCACCGUCGUAUGAUGCGAUGGGGGGACGGAUCGCGGAAGGUUGUCCGGGUGUUGGAAGUCCCGGUCCCUGCAUUGGAGAAGGCGCUUAGGCAAAUCCGGGCGCGGAAUUCAAGGAUGUGGGGCGAGCGGCCUAGUGCUGCGAAGCAAUUGGAAGUGGUUCCAAGAAAAGCCUCUAAGCUUCAGUCAUACGAGACCGUACCGCAAACCGACACAGGUGGGCGAGAUGAGUAUUCUAAGGCGCUUGAGAGAACUCGGGAGAAGGAACUCGGCAAAUUGGUACCGUAACUUCGGGAUAAGGUACGCCCUUGUAGCUUGACUGGCCUGCGCCAGGAGGGUGAAGGGGUUGCAAUAAAAUGGUGGCUGCGACUGUUUAAUAAAAACACAGCACUCUGCAAACACGAAAGUGGACGUAUAGGGUGUGACGCCUGCCCGGUGCCGGAAGAUUAAAUGAUGGGGUGCAAGCUCUUGAUUGAAGUCCCGGUAAACGGCGGCCGUAACUAUAACGGUCCUAAGGUAGCGAAAUUCCUUGUCGGGUAAGUUCCGACCUGCACGAAUGGCGUAACGAUGGCCACACUGUCUCCUCCCGAGACUCAGCGAAGUUGAAGUGUUUGUGAUGAUGCAAUCUCCCCGCGGCUAGACGGAAAGACCCCAUGAACCUUUACUGUAGCUUUGCAUUGGACUUUGAACCGAUCUGUGUAGGAUAGGUGGGAGGCUUUGAAGCGUGGACGCUAGUUCACGUGGAGCCGUCCUUGAAAUACCACCCUGGUUUGUUUGAGGUUCUAACCUUGGCCCGUGAAUCCGGGUCGGGGACAGUGCAUGGUAGGCAGUUUGACUGGGGCGGUCUCCUCCCAAAGUGUAACGGAGGAGUUCGAAGGUACGCUUGGUACGGUCGGAGAUCGUACCUAAAGUGCAAUGGCAAAAGCGUGCUUAACUGCGAGACCGACAAGUCGAGCAGGUGCGAAAGCAGGACAUAGUGAUCCGGUGGUUCUGAAUGGAAGGGCCAUCGCUCAACGGAUAAAAGGUACUCUGGGGAUAACAGGCUGAUACCGCCCAAGAGUUCAUAUCGACGGCGGUGUUUGGCACCUCGAUGUCGGCUCAUCUCAUCCUGGGGCUGUAGCCGGUCCCAAGGGUAUGGCUGUUCGCCAUUUAAAGAGGUACGUGAGCUGGGUUUAAAACGUCGUGAGACAGUUUGGUCCCUAUCUGCCGUGGGCGUUGGAAUCUUGACGGGGGCUGCUCCUAGUACGAGAGGACCGGAGUGGACGUACCGCUGGUGUACCUGUUGUCUCGCCAGAGGCAUCGCAGGGUAGCUAUGUACGGAAGAGAUAACCGCUGAAAGCAUCUAAGCGGGAAACUCGCCUGAAGAUGAGGAUUCCCUGGAGGCUUGACCUCCUUGAAGGGUCGUUCGAGACCAGGACGUUGAUAGGCUGGGUGUGGAAGCGCAGUAAUGCGUUAAGCUAACCAGUACUAAUUGCCCGUAAGGCUUGAUCCU
RNAcentral lists this ribosomal RNA (2877 nucleotides) under Cupriavidus metallidurans NBRC 101272. RNAcentral's name for it is "bacterial LSU rRNA". It matches the Rfam family "Bacterial large subunit ribosomal RNA". Lineage: Bacteria; Pseudomonadati; Pseudomonadota; Betaproteobacteria; Burkholderiales; Burkholderiaceae. The record is from RNAcentral.